Molecule: ribosomal RNA, 253 nt
Filed under: uncultured bacterium
Lineage: Bacteria
Description: partial 16S ribosomal RNA
Rfam family: Bacterial small subunit ribosomal RNA
Source: RNAcentral
UACGUAGGUGGCGAGCGUUGUCCGGAUUUACUGGGCGUAAAGGGAGCGUAGACGGUAAUGUAAGUCUGGAGUGAAAGGCGGGGGCCCAACCCCCGGACUGCUCUGGAAACUAUGUUACUAGAGUGCAGGAGAGGUAAGCGGAAUUCCUAGUGUAGCGGUGAAAUGCGUAGAUAUUAGGAGGAACACCAGUGGCGAAGGCGGCUUACUGGACUGUAACUGACGUUGAGGCUCGAAAGCGUGGGGAGCAAACAGG